Molecule: ribosomal RNA, 522 nt
Filed under: uncultured bacterium
Lineage: Bacteria
Description: bacterial SSU rRNA
Rfam family: Bacterial small subunit ribosomal RNA
Source: RNAcentral
CCAGAGAACUUAGCAGAGAUGCUUUGGUGCCUUCGGGAACUCUGAGACAGGUGCUGCAUGGCUGUCGUCAGCUCGUGUUGUGAAAUGUUGGGUUAAGUCCCGCAACGAGCGCAACCCUUUAUCCUUUGUUGCCAGCGGUCCGGCCGGGAACUCAAAGGAGACUGCCAGUGAUAAACUGGAGGAAGGUGGGGAUGACGUCAAGUCAUCAUGGCCCUUACGAGUAGGGCUACACACGUGCUACAAUGGCGCAUACAAAGAGAAGCGACCUCGCGAGAGCAAGCGGACCUCAUAAAGUGCGUCGUAGUCCGGAUUGGAGUCUGCAACUCGACUCCAUGAAGUCGGAAUCGCUAGUAAUCGUAGAUCAGAAUGCUACGGUGAAUACGUUCCCGGGCCUUGUACACACCGCCCGUCACACCAUGGGAGUGGGUUGCAAAAGAAGUAGGUAGCUUAACCUUCGGGAGGGCGCUUACCACUUUGUGAUUCAUGACUGGGGUGAAGUCGUAACAAGGUAAGCGUACGUGU